This 499-nucleotide ribosomal RNA is filed under the name uncultured fungus. RNAcentral's name for it is "eukaryotic LSU rRNA". The stretch from base 160 to 313 matches the Rfam family "5.8S ribosomal RNA". Lineage: Eukaryota; Fungi. The record is from RNAcentral.
AACGUUGGAAACAGSGGUUAGGAGCUUACACCCACCCGUGKCUACAUACUAUUGUUGCUUUGGCGGGCCGUGGCCUCCACUGCGGGCUCUGCUCGUGUGUGCCCGCCAGAGAACCAAACUCUGAAUGUUAGUGAUGUCUGAGUACUAUCUAAUAGUUAAAACUUUCAACAACGGAUCUCUUGGUUCUGGCAUCGAUGAAGAACGCAGCGAAAUGCGAUAAGUAAUGUGAAUUGCAGAAUUCAGUGAAUCAUCGAAUCUUUGAACGCACAUUGCGCCCUGUGGUAUUCCGCAGGGCAUGCCUGUUCGAGCGUCAUUUAACCACUCACGCCUAGCGUGGUAUUGGGGCACGCGGUCUCCGCGGCCCUCAAAAUUAGUGGCGGCGCCGGUGGGCUCUAAGCGUAKUACAUACUCCCGCUAUAGAGUUCCCCCGGUGGCUCGCCAGAACCCCCAAUUUUUACAGGUUGACCUCGGAUCAGGUAGGGAUACCCGCUGAACUUAA